CACGUAGGGGGCGAGCGUUGUCCGGAUUUAUUGGGCGUAAAGAGCUCGUAGGCGGUUCGGCAAGUCGGGUGUGAAAUUUCGAGGCUCAACCUCGAAACGCCACUCGAUACUGCUGUGACUGGAGUCCGGUAGAGGAGUGCGGAAUUCCUGGUGUAGCGGUGAAAUGCGCAGAUAUCAGGAGGAACACCGAUGGCGAAGGCAGCUUGCUGGGACGGUACUGACGCUGAGACGCGAAAGCGUGGGGAGCAAACAGG
RNAcentral lists this ribosomal RNA (254 nucleotides) under uncultured bacterium. Its description in RNAcentral is "partial 16S ribosomal RNA". It matches the Rfam family "Bacterial small subunit ribosomal RNA", at positions 524 to 776 of the family's 1533-position model. The record is from RNAcentral.